Molecule: ribosomal RNA, 512 nt
Filed under: uncultured bacterium
Lineage: Bacteria
Description: bacterial SSU rRNA
Rfam family: Bacterial small subunit ribosomal RNA
Source: RNAcentral
CUGGCGGCGUGCCUAAUACAUGCAAGUCGAACGGUCUUUUCUAUGGAAGCUUGCUUCCACUGAGAAGAUAGUGGCGAACGGGUGAGUAACACGUGGGUAACCUGCCCAUAAGAGGGGGGAUAACAUCCGGAAACGGGUGCUAAUACCGCAUAGUUUUCUUGAUCGCAUGAUUGGGAAAGGAAAGACGGCCUUUGUGCUGUCGCUUAUGGAUGGACCCGCGGCGUAUUAGUUAGUUGGUGAGGUAACGGCUCACCAAGACGAUGAUACGUAGCCGACCUGAGAGGGUGAUCGGCCACAUUGGGACUGAGACACGGCCCAAACUCCUACGGGAGGCAGCAGUAGGGAAUCUUCCGCAAUGGACGAAGGUCUGACGGAGCAACGCCGCGUGAGUGAAGAAAAGGUUUUCGGAUCGUAAAACUCUGUUGUCAGAGAAGAACAAGUUGGAGAGUAACUGCUCCAGCCUUGACGGUAUCUGACCAGAAAGCCACGGCUAACUACGUGCCAGCAGCGGC